UUUAUAUUUUUAUUAUUUUAUUGUUUCCCUUCUACGUGACUUUACCGAAAGAACCAAGACUAUAAACUAAAACUAAUUUGUUUUAUUUUACCAGGUAAAGCCCACCGAGCUAUCAGAGGCGCUGUGGCCACACAUGAUGAUAGCUCAUCAUGGCAGUGGCUGAUAUCAUCAUCACCUGACGUGGGAAUAAUUCAUAGCGGCAGACAAAUCAUGUGAGCGUGCGUUGUUUCUCAACGUGGAGGGAAGCAAAACUGGAGGGACCCGGAAAUCGAUCCACGCUUUGACCACCACGGGGAGAGAGAGAUCACGCAGACUCCAGAUAUACAACAACAGGGAUCGCCAGGGCCCGUGAUCGAACGCACGUCUUCCUGCGAGCAGGCGGGUUUAUUACUUAACAUUCGCAGAAGGUAUUCGAUUCCCAUUACAUAAGUGAAUUAUAUUAUUGAGUUGUUUUCCUAAAAAAAAAAUUACAUUUAGUUAUUUGCACCAUAAUUCAUCACGCUAUUGCUACCCGUCGUAAUAAAUUACAAUCGUUAAAUCAGUCCAAUAACCGGAUGAAAGUCCCCUCCCUUGCAGUCGUGGGGUCAUCGUGGUUGUUCCAUCGCCGCACUUUUGCCGAGGCCGUGCGACCAAUUUUCCCGGCGAUAGCCUUUCGCGCGGAUUCAUUGCAUCAGCGCGUCCGCGAUCUCGAGCGCGUGUUCCUUUUAUGCGCUCGCCAAAAUUAAUUCCCCGCGGCAAAGCGGCGGCGGUGUUUUCGUGAUCAUGCGUGCGUGGGGCGAGCUGAGAAGUCAAUGGGCCAGCGGCUAUUGUUACAACAGCGCAGCGCGUACUGAUUAAGAAGGGGGCUAUGGCACACAACAGAAACCUGCGAUUUCGACUGCAUCGCCUCCGCCGAAUAGCGGGGGACAAAAGGGGAGCUGCUGUAUUGAGUUUCUCGUGUAGCUCGCAAGAAAAGUGAGAGCUUGGAGACUGGUUGAUUGUUUUUUUUUUAAACAUAUUUAAAAUUACACCGCGAUGGAAUUUAUAACAUUUGGGCAAUAAAAGGGUCACGUGUAGAUUGUAGAUUGUACGCAGGUUUAAGAUGUUCUCGUGGGGUUAUUGCGUGCGCGCGAUCUUCUGCAUCGCGAUGAUUUUUCUCUCGCCGAACGCUUUAAAGUUCUUGGGGACGCUUUGAUAAAAACAAAAACAACGAAAAAAAAACCCUUGAACUCCUGUUAACAUCAGUGUCAAGAGGCAGACGUCACUCUGGGUGUUUUAUGCAAACGUCCGCUGUCCUUGGUCCUGUUUGGCCACCGAGGCAGGCGUUAUUUUUUUUUUUAAACCCCACUCCACUCGGUCACGAUUAUUCCACCCCGAGCAACACACGAAGGAGAGACAGCGGAGCAAUUUGGUCGCCCAAACGGCCUCAGAAAGUCGCCGUAAAUCGUUGCCUGAGGUGCAGCGGGGGCAUUUUUUUGCUGAGGUCUAUAGAGCGAUGACGGAACGUUAGGAUGUCACUGCCUGUGGAGUAACUUCCAGUUGAAAUGCACAGUAUGGACAGGGCGGAGGUGGUGGGGUUGUUGGUGGGGCUCCUUGCUCGAUCCGGCCUGAUAGUCUUCUCCGAUUGGCCACACACUCAUCGCGCUCUCGUCCACCAUACAAAGACAAAACGAUCGCGACGCUUACACGCAGCGACGACGGUCGUGAUGUAUAAAAACAAAAAUGUGCUACGUGUGGACCGGGCUUUAGAAUCUUCGUCACGAUUGCCUGCGCAUUUUAUUGGGAACGCGGGUAGGCGCGAUAAAAAAAAUGUUGCGACCGUGACCGCUCGCCGUUUAAUCGCUUUUGCCAACCUCUCGCGGUCACGUGCGGCACUGAUCCGGUUGGGACGAUGGUGGUGGUGAUGGGGGUGGUGGGGGGUGGUGGUGGUGGUGAUGGUGGGGAUGGUGGUGGUGGUGAUGGUGGGAACGAUAGCGGCAGGACACCGGCAAGUGGCACCUUGCCAACGCAUCAGCCGUCCAUGUGUUGGGUUGACGUGAGCGACGGGUUCCCGGCAAAUGACCGAGUCGCCACUGGCAGCCGCUGGCAGCUGCUGGCAGCCGCUGGCAACCGCUGGUAGCUGACCAUCGCCAAUAAAGUUCACUCACAGUGCGACGGCAGCGGUCAAAAGCGACCGAUGGCUCUUGGGCCGCGUCGACACCGAUACCUCCUCUUUCUCCUCUCUCUCCACUGCACAACCGAGCCAUACCGGGACCGGGCUGGGGCCGGGCAAACCCCUUGCAGUACUUGGGAUGCAGCAGUAGUCUUUUUUUCCCCACUUACAGACACCAAAGCGUGCCACUAAAGUAGAACAUUUGUUAAGUUUACUGACAGCAUGCAGUACAAUGAGAAUGAGUAACCCCCUCCUCCUGGCCCCGCUCGGACCCGAGUCAGAUUCGGAUGUGUUCUUGUGAGGUUAUGGCUCGGCUUUCGCAAAUUUCCAGUGAAAAAUCGCCCGUACCGAGAGGUGUCCCGUGCUAGCGCGGCUCGGAUAUGUGCCAGUGAAAAGAAAGAGGGGUGUCAGGUGUGAAGUCUUUUACAGUUUCGUUCGAGAAACUGCAUUCCAGAAGCUAGAUAAUAUUGUGCAUGAAUACCCCACCCCUCCCAGCCUCCCAUUAGAAGCAUUUUGUUCAAAAGUGUAUGAUAUGCCUUCAUUGUACAAAGCAGGUUUUAUACGAGACAAGUUUGUUGUCUUAAAUGCCUUGAGCUCACAUCCCGAGCUGUUAUCAGACGUAGAAUUUUUUUCCAGACUUUUUUGACGAAAUCUGGCCCGGUCUGCCGUGAAAAAAAAAGGCCGGUCUUGGGUGUGUAUGUGUGUGUUUUGUUUUUCCGUGAAAGAUUUUGUUUAAAAAAAAAACUGCACUAAGUAAUUAAGACGUAUUUUUUUUAAUACACGCAUAUAUAUCUCUAUUAAAAAAACACUGUUAAAGUGGUAGUGGUUCACCGUUCGGUAGGAUCCACGGACCUUUUUUUCGUAGGACCGCGUAGUUAAAGGCACUCGCGUUAACAGAGUGCUGUCACUUCGUUGUGGUGGUGGUGGUGUUGGUGGAGGGGUGGAUGAUCGUCCACGUGUUUCGCCUGCGGCACACCCUCGUGGUUCGCGAUGGAGGGAUGCAAAGCUGAAACUGUAUAUGCAGACGAGCAAAAUAUUUCUGGAGCGAAAACGGUCGCCGUGAAGCGAACGCGGGGCGGGUCAAGUUGGGAGGUCAUUUGUGGCUAUGGCCGACGAUCCUGCUUCCCAUCUGCUUCCAUCUUUCCAUGCAUCCGUCUGUCAAAUCUCGGGGCUGUUGGCACGUCCGCUCGCCGACCUCCCAAGGACCCCUGUUACGAGCUCGUUAUCAUCACCAUCAACCAUCAUCUUCUUCAGCUGGCUUCAGGUGAAAUGUCUUUCAAGGACCUCUCUUACAGGUCCUCCACCGCCUGGCUGAAGGUCUUCCCCUUGUUGCUCAGUCGACAAAUCCUUCAAGAACCACUCUCACAGUCUCUCGCCAAUCAUCAACAAACAUCCGGUUGUAGGUCGUCCAGUUUUUUUCUUCGAAAUAUGAUUUGUGUUCCAAGGAACCACUCUUUAACAGUCUCGGCAUCAUCGUCGUUGUCGUCGUUGUCGUAAACACUGUCUGGAUUCAGGUCUUCCCAUUGAUACAACUCCUUCAAAGACCGCUCUUACAGCCCCACCACCAUCACCAUUUGGCUUUCGGUCUCGGCAGAAGAAGAGAACGGUUCAUAUCCAAAAGAUACUCUCUCCAUGAACAUUCUCGAAAUGUGUUUGCAAUAAACUCUGUGGCAUCAUUUUUUUCUCGCAUUGAAAUCGCCCAAGCGAUGUCUCUUGUGACUGGGCGACACUAAGUGUAAAAUCGUGCCAUUCUUCACGAGUUUAUUCAUCCUUCACGCUUGUGAUUAGAAAUCUAGUUGUGUUUUUUUUAAUACCGUGUUUGAGUGCCCCAUAUACCCAAUCACAAUUGUGUCAAGUGUUUAAAGCUGCCAUGAGUUUAUUAUAAUAAUCAAUGUCUCCGACCUCGGGUGGCGCUCGGUCACCGUUGGCAGUCGGAAUUUCCACAUUCCUAUGGCAGAGACAAUAUGACAAACACCGUCGACUUCCCACAAAGUGGAACUCGCUUUAUCCAUCUAACAGUUUGAUGAUGAUAAUGAUGAAUGGGUGGAAUUUGACACGCUACUACAACAACAACAAUAUAUAAACUUCACGGCUUUUCACACGGUUUCUUUGGCCACGGUUAACCCAGGGUGCUUUUUCGUGAGCCCGGAAAUAUUCUGUUGAGCUCUCUCAUGUCGAGAGGGCGAUGCAAGGGGAUGCCCGCACGCGCGUGCGAGCGUGUGAGUGUGCGCUCGUCGGAGGUCGGUUGGGAAGGGAUUUGAGAAAGCGACCGUGGGAGGUGCUGUGGGGUUUUUUUUGGGAGGGACCGUGUGGGGAUGGGGGAGGAGGGGGUGAGGGUCUCACGCCAGCGCUAUCGGUGGACGCGUGCUCUGACAGGAUAAAAGAAAUCCGCGACAGAAUUAAUGAUAAAUGACGCUAAUGCAGAAGGAAGCCAGUCGGCGUCAAGGGGCGGCCUAAUAUGGGGCUUUUUAGAUCCACGGAAUCACGUGUGACAGGAAUCACUUUACCGAUUUCAAAAGUUGUAUUCAAAAUGUCACAGCUCGAUCCAUGCUUGAUCCAUGCUCGAACGCAUAGACACAGGAAGUGUAAUCAGUCGAUUCCCGUAAAAAUACGUCGCUUUUUGUUCCAAUAUUCCUCAUAUGGGCAAAUGCCACGUCCAAUUACUUAAUAUACGGGCGUAAAACAUGAACAUACGUUAUCAUUCAUUCUAUCGCGGAUUCAUUUUAUCCUGUUACAGCUCUUUCUGCCUCUCUGGAAAAGUCGCUGCCCUCCCCUCCCCCACCAGAUUUUGUUCACGCGCGGCGAGACAAUUCGAGAGAUUCGUGGCACGUGGACGCCUCUUUGCCGUGCGCGUUACAAACUGCUGCACCGACUCAUCACUUCUUGAUCUUCUCUUUCGCCGCCUUUCUUUGUUGGCAGACUUUAAAACGGAUGAAUUUCCCCCACGAUCCGCUUCGAGUUGCUCGCAAAAAAAAAUAGUCGGGAGACUUUUUGGGAAACGCUGUACAGCAACGUAUUUUAAGCUUUCAAUUUUUGUUGUUGUUGUUCUUCGUUUCGUUUACCGCGUUGUGAAUGAAUGUACGAUCAUUCGCCGACAUAAUUGGAGUCAAGCCAGGGCCACCUCCCUUCCCCCGAGUCCUGACCAACUCACGGCGUCUUAUAAACGCCGCAAGGGUCGUUUUCGAGAUAAUAUUUGUCGCAACUCGUGGCCUGCCAGGCUUGUGAGGUUUCGUUGAGGGGGGUUUCUAUUGCUCUGGCGCCUGCUUGUCGUGUCACGUGUAUAAGCAAGCACAUUCCGAAAUGCCAACCACAUUCUACCACUUGUUGAGGAAAGGUUCUUCAGAUGAAUGUACGGUAUCCGUGUUUGUGCUCUUACCGGUCCAAGGAAUGUCACCGACACUUGCUGUGGGCGGUCGCAGAAUAUUGAAUAUUUGUGGAUUAACUACUGUAUAUGUACGCACGCCAACCCACUCAUUGCCUUCGUGGUUAGUACUACAUGUACGUAUGUACGUUGAACUUCUUUCGCACCGAACGUAGCCAACCGUGCUCAUCGGAGGUACAGAAGGGUUGUUGACCAUUAAAGCGCUUACACUGAUCUGUGACAUAACGCGACAGCUUUAACACAAAUAUCCAGAAGCCCCGACACGUUAAACGAUCCUCCAAUAUAUGCCUCUUUGAUGAUUUAGGUCGAGUUGUCACGAGUUGCAGACGAAGUGGCGAAGUCGAGCUGGCAAGCUUGCCGUGGGUCUAAAGUUGAACGCGCAUUCGUGCGUUCAACUUUAAAAUCGACGUGACCUUCUUGACGAAACUGCAAUUUUCUGGUUGAGCUAAAAGAAAAAAAAAUGUCCCAAAAUAAUGGGGGGGGGGAGGGGGAGGGAUUUCAAUUGUCACUCCAACAUGUUCGUAACGUUUACCAAACGGGCAAUUGUACGCAUCAGGAACUUAGCGCCGUGGGAAUCAGACACGGGUGGUUUGGAGAGAGAGAGAAAAAAAACAUUUUAUUGACCCUUAUUGAACAUGUAAUAAUUUCAAGGACCGUUCACUCUUGCGAUCUCACCACCACGAACACCGCCAUCAUUUUACUCUAGCUCCCUGCCUCCCCUCUUAACAGAAGCAAUCAAAACACAUCGCAUGACGAUGAUAAUUCCCAAACAUUGGCGCCACUUUCUCCGCUGUGUUAAGGAAGAAUUGGCUCACAGACGCACGCACCGCGACCCCCUGCCGUGAGAGCCGAGGUCAGCAUUAAGAGAACGCGCGCGCGCGCGCCCAAAGGACUCUGCACAGGGCACUUCAACUCUGGGCUUAUUUUCCAGGCCCGCCGCACGUAAAACUCCCCACGUGCGGUUUUUUUUCUUCUUAUUCGAGUUGGGCCACGUGUGCGUCGAGCGAUUUCCAGAACGCUCUCCGCCAUGCGCUACUGCCAAGGUGAUGGCGGUGGUGGUGGUGGAGGGGAGGGGAGAGGUGAGGGCAUCGUCAGGAGUUUGAAUUAUUAUAAGCCCCGAAGCCCCACACCCACGGAACGCUCCGCGUGAAACCCUCUGAAGCUGCUUCGUCGAACGGAAAGCUUUAACAAUGUGACGGGGGACUGUGAUCAUACGGCGGACAGCGUAAAUGCUUUAAAAAAAGAGAGAGAGAGAAAGAAACGGAGUUUAUUGAAUUGUCGCCGGUUAAUGGUUUUGUGAAUAUUAAUUCUUGAGUCACUGCACUAGUGAUUUAUUUUGAUGUGCGUGCGCGCGUGUGUGUGUGUGAAUGUGUGCGCGUGCGUGCGUGUCCAUGUGCGUGUGUGUGUGUCACGUGCUGCCAGAACCUCUGGUGUGGUAAUUGUUAUUCUAACUGUUCCUGUCAGGUGAAUUCUCGUUCACUCCCCCGUUGAUUUAAAUGUGUGUUGUGCCUGCAAUUUCCUUAAGGCAUUUGUAACUUAAAUGUCUCAGACGACUACUCCUUGUUCAUAGGUGCACCCAAAGCCAGGACUUUUCAGGUGUUCGACCCAACUGAUGUCAUCAUUGUUAUUAUUGCCAUUGCGGUGAGCUAAUCUGCUUUGAUUUGGUUUGGUGGAGUCGUGGUGCGGUACCGUGUAAAAUCCUGGGUUUGGAAAGAAAUCUUUAUUUUGUAAAAACAAAAAAAGUGCGUUCUUCUACAGUUGUGUGGUUAUGGGGGCAGUAAAAAAUACUGAUCGUGGAUUCUCAAUCCGUGAACGUGGCAGGGGCAUUUAUUUGCAGGCGAGCGAUGCCCAAGUCACGCACAGUCGCACACGUGCGGCAUACAAUGGUAAAGAGAUUUGUCAUUCUGCGCCAUCGCCAGCCAUUAUCCACCCGUGCUCCAUCCACCGCUGGAUGAAUUCCCUCCCCAUAGCGUGCGCUCGCGCGUCCCACGCGGCGCCACAACAUGCCAUGCCAUCUCGCGCUCCGCGGAAUCCUGAACUCUCAUCGCUCCGUCUCAACCGUGGCGGGCGUCCUUAACUCUUGGGAAUGGUCUCGUUCAUUUUUUUGGCUGCCGUCGUUAAGUGCAGCCCCCCGCCCACCCACUGCCAGAGCCACCUCGAACUCCCGUCAGCGACGCAAUGCCCUCCUUUGUGUCUUCGCUUUCUGAUCCACGCGUCGCUUUCCUUCCGUCUCGGUGGCAUUCCAAGCGUGCAUUUCCAACCUCCCAUCCCAUCCCAUACCCGGUGCUUGUCCUGGCAGCCACAUCGUCGUCGGCUUUGUGUCAGCCUCCGUCUCGUUUCGGAUCCGUGCAUCGUAGCCAAGAGCAUUCGUGGAUCACGGGCCGUCCUUCUUCCCUCGGUCGCAUCGAUGCAUUGCCGUUCACGAUGGAGCUCACUCCUGCCCCUUGUUUUGUUACUUGGUUUCAUACGACGCACGUUCAUUUCUUUCACCCCCCCAACGUUACUCACAACCGGAAAACAUCACGAAGUUUACGACCACUAAACACAUUCCCACAUUAGAUGAUAAUAAUAAGUUGUAAUGAAUAAAAUGUUACGCAAAGCCGAACACACAAAAGUUUAUUGAAGGUGUAAGUAAUACUACGAGUGGUCACGUGAACAUUUUGAUUUAAAAGUAAAAGUGGUGUCUAGCUCUCCACAGUCCUAGACAUUCCACGUUGCUAUGGUGGGGGUGAAUACAUCCUAUGAGAUACACCUCUGUUGACUGCCGUCAAUGUGGCAUUCGCUUGAUCAACCUCGAACGGACGACGAUAAUGAGUUAAUUCGACCCCACCGGGGAAUUGAACCCGUGACCUCCCGAUUGGGAGUUGCGCCCCCGGAAAGAUUUAUUGCAUCAUCAGCCACGGUCAAUCCACUGCUGUAUGAAGGCCUAUCCAAGCCAUCACCAUACAUAACAAUUUGGAUUUGUAAUUCAAUCGCACCUUGUUGAGACAUUACUCUCUCUGCAUGAUGAUAAAAAAA
Petromyzon marinus (sea lamprey) is the source of this 8531-nucleotide long non-coding RNA. RefSeq lists it as uncharacterized. NCBI's taxonomy places the organism in Eukaryota, Metazoa, Chordata, Hyperoartia, Petromyzontiformes, Petromyzontidae. The record is from RefSeq and is a predicted model, not a curated record.